Molecule: small nuclear RNA, 103 nt
Filed under: Brassica napus (rape)
Lineage: Eukaryota; Viridiplantae; Streptophyta; Magnoliopsida; Brassicales; Brassicaceae
Source: RNAcentral
GUCCCUUCGGGGUCAUCCGAUAAAAUUGGAACGAUACAGAGAAGAUUAACAUGGUUCAUGCGCAGGGAUGACACACAUAAAUCAAGAAAUUGUCCAAAUUUUU